GACGAGGGGAACUGAGAUUCCAAACCAUAGAAAGACAAGAGCAAACAUUGUUCCAAAGGGCACAGCUCCGGAUGAUUUCUGUCCCCAAAUCAGAGCAUUUAGAACGAAAAAUAGGGCGAAUAUGGUGGCAGGGAACAUGACUGCAGUGUUCAAGGCAAUCUUCUUCCACUCUGUACCCUUGAACAUUUUGUACAGACGUGCCGAGGCAAAACCAGCAAAAAGACCCAUGAAGACCCAGAGCAAGAGCAUGGCCGUCAUUAGUCCUCCUCUGUUUGAAGGGGAGAGGAAACCAAGGAUGGCGAAC
RNAcentral lists this unclassified non-coding RNA (304 nucleotides) under Hevea brasiliensis (rubber tree). Lineage: Eukaryota; Viridiplantae; Streptophyta; Magnoliopsida; Malpighiales; Euphorbiaceae. The record is from RNAcentral.